Physcomitrium patens is the source of this 901-nucleotide non-coding RNA. NCBI's taxonomy places the organism in Eukaryota, Viridiplantae, Streptophyta, Bryopsida, Funariales, Funariaceae. The record is from RefSeq and is a predicted model, not a curated record.
GGAUGGUUGUAAGGCCCAGAUUUGUCCCCUCAUUUUCUGGCUGUGGAGUCUGGCUUCUCUGUGCCAUUGGUUUCUGCAAGUAAUUGUUAGCGUGUAUCCUUAUUGCAAGAAGAGAUUAGUAUUCGGCUCUUGCUAGAAGUAACAACAAUGUGGCACGAUGAGGAUGAAGGUGGAUUCUCGAAUUCGAAUGAUGGUAGAGAAUGGAGGGCGAUGUUAACAUCGAACUACGUUUGUCAUCGUUGAUGACAAAAGCCAAGAGCAGGUGCCCUGCACGUCGCUACUGUGAAAAAAAUCCUACAGAGGGUGACAAGGAUUUGAAAGAGGAAGAAAUUCCUUCAAGCUACACAUCCAGCUGGUCUACCGGUGCAGAGAUAUACUACUCUUGAUCACGUGUUUUCCCGUCAUCUGAUUCGCUUCUUACAUUACCAGCUUCUCACUUGAAGCUGUUUUGCUUUUCUGAAGGGUAUGCUUGUUCUAUUUCUAUUUCUAGAUGAUUUAAUAAAUCGUAUGAUAGCGUCUUGUUGCUAAGCCAUUGUGGCUGAGUUCUCUCAUGUAAUGAUUAAGAUAGUUACAUGACUUUGUUGUUAUCUAAGUUUUUCGUCUUCCUUCUUGGUAGCAAUUUCUUUCGAACCUGCCAGAAUCAUGGUUGUUUUGAUUCUCUUUCCUUCAUGCUAUUCUUGAGUAGAACUUUUAUGCAGUACAGUGGCGCUAACUGCAGCUCGAGGUAGAGGUUUUGAGAGUGGCAACGGCUAAGGCAGUUGUCCUUAGGUAUUGAUUGAGUUCAAACAACACUAACAACCUUCAAAUAAGAUUUGUUAGUGAUUAAGUGUUGCCUCGGUUUCUUUGUGUUAUUAGAUUUUAUACAAGAACCGCUAACCAAUGAAUUUUAGUGAUUUCACAA